This 858-nucleotide long non-coding RNA is filed under the name Ananas comosus (pineapple). RNAcentral's name for it is "long non-coding RNA (ACOM_LNC028392)". The record is from RNAcentral. Lineage: Eukaryota; Viridiplantae; Streptophyta; Magnoliopsida; Poales; Bromeliaceae.
GAAUAGUUUGAUAUAGUAUAUCUUAUCCUUCUCCUAUUUAUUUAAAGAAUAUCGAUCUGAACUCUAUAUAAUGAGGGCAUUGGUCCUGUCAUUUUCUUAUGUGCAUUCUCUUGAUGAGAUACUAUCGAUUUUACAUUAUACGGGAGAGUGCAUGAGAAAUGAGGAGAAACCAAAUCAUUCAAGUUUGAUUGGUGACAUCCAGAUUAUAGUCAGACUUUUCGCUUCCGCAGCUUGAUCAAGAAUUUCUUCACUAUGGCAUUCUUUGAGUUUUUUUCUUUUAUUUAUGAUCCUAAAUUUUGGUAUAUAUUUAUUUUUAUUGGUGUUUUAUAUAGUGAUAAAGAUCUAUCAAUAUAAACUAGAUAAAAUUCUAUAAAACUUAUCUGAAUUAUAAAAUUUUUUAAUUUGAUUGUCUAGUUUUUCAAAAUUUUGAUUUUAGUAUUCAGGUCGUUAAUUUGUUUGAUAUAAGUGAUUUGAUGGCACAUAUGAAUACAAAAUUUAAGUAAAUUAUUCAUUUUAACAAAUUUAUUAGUUGCAUAAAUUAUUUUUAAAAUUUUAUAUAAAAAAGGGGUAAACUUCAAAUACCUUUUGUGGUUUCACAUUUUCUCACUUUAGUACCCUAUAGUUUAUAGUGUAUCAAGUUAGCUCCUGUGGUUUCGCACUUUCUCACUUUAGUACCCUAUGAUUUAAAGUGUAUCAAGUUAGUACCCUCUGGUUUCAAUUUUUUUUUAUUAUUCAUUUCACUAAUUUUUUUUAUUAAAUCAGUGACAAAGUUAAAAUAUUUUAAAUUAUAGAAUACUAAAAUGAAAAUGUGCAAAACCACUAGUAUUUAAAGUUUUGUGGGAAAAAAAAAAAAAAAAA